RNAcentral lists this small RNA (1013 nucleotides) under Rattus norvegicus (Norway rat). Its description in RNAcentral is "uncharacterized LOC103690501". The record is from RNAcentral. Lineage: Eukaryota; Metazoa; Chordata; Mammalia; Rodentia; Muridae.
AUCAUGGAAUACUGCUUUCCUCCCAAACAAGCCUGUGUUCCAGUCCUGACCUUGACAAUGACCUGCCAGCAACUCCAGGCCUGUCCUUUAACUCCCUGAGCUGAUACCCACUUAUUUGUGAAGUGGAGACGGCAAGGAUGAUCUUCAGGGGCCCUGGUGACAGCCAGGUCAGAGCAAAGACCUAGGUGUUUAAUCUACCAUACCCAUGGUUUCUCCUUCAGCCUUUACUCCUAAAAGGUUGGGUUAAAAGCUAUGAGACUGUCUGGUUCCAGCCAAUGACUUCUUCAAGAAGCUAAGCCAGACAGAACUGAGAAGCACAGAUCCUUGAAAAAAGAGUUGUGUAAGGAAGAGCUGUGGGGAAUUCAGAAAACUGGGAUAGCCCUGGAGAAGAGAAAGGCUCGACUGGGUUUUGCAGUGGGACUAGCCUCUUUCUGAGACUUGCGGUGUUCACUGGUCUGCGUUGCUUUGGUUAGUACUCAACUCUGGGUAAGCCCGACAGAGAGCAGGAGUGUGCUUUAUAUAUGUAAGACAGUCUUCAUAGAGGAUGCAGGGCCAGUGGCAUCUCCCUGGCAGACAUCUCCCUGAGUUAAGCCAAGAGGAGUGCCAGCAAGGGCCACCCGGGGAGGCCAGGGAACCCUUCAAGAAUCAGUAGAGAUGUAAAGUGAGAGCCAGAAAGCCAGAAUUGGCUGCGGGGGUCGGCUGGGAACAGGGCAGUCUGAGGGAAACAAAACAUCUGGCAGGAUCUUCGAAGGAGAAAGGGAGAAAAAGGAGGGAGAAGGCACUGGAGUGUAACCCUGGAUGUAACCCGGACCAGAGGAGACCAAGGAUUCGGAUACCAGACCACCAGGGACCAAAGUGGAGUAUGGGCCUUGUAGGCACUGAAGAGGAGUGGUUAUGGGUGUAUGGGUGCCGUGGUCACCAUCAGGAAGUCAUAGGCUGCUGUGCUUCCUGACAAAGGCUGGCUAGGAAUGGUCUCAGAAAGCAGGCUGAGGAAUCCUUGAGGAGCAAGCCAG